UAGUUGAUAGUCAUGGAGAAAUUGGAUCUCCUAUUUAUGUCAAUAGACUCAAAAGU
This 56-nucleotide transfer RNA is filed under the name Pomphorhynchus sp. TP-2012. RNAcentral's name for it is "tRNA-Gln". Lineage: Eukaryota; Metazoa; Acanthocephala; Palaeacanthocephala; Echinorhynchida; Pomphorhynchidae. The record is from RNAcentral.